Long non-coding RNA from Pogoniulus pusillus (Red-fronted tinkerbird), 746 nucleotides. RefSeq lists it as uncharacterized. The transcript is spliced from 5 exons. The record is from RefSeq and is a predicted model, not a curated record. Lineage: Eukaryota; Metazoa; Chordata; Aves; Piciformes; Lybiidae.
AGCUCACCUCCUGCCUUCCAUUCAACCGCGAGAUCCUGACCUUGGAAAAUGAGAUUAACAACACUGAAAGCAAACUGUCUUCAGGUCUCCGUCAUCUAGUUUGUGCUGAAGGACAAGCAACUGGCCAGAAUCCACAUGUUCUCCUGUUCAGCUUCCCCAAACAAUUGCUUUGAAAUACACGAAGCACUGCCAGACCUCAGUGAGUUGCAGCCCGCCCACACCUAGAACUAAAAUGUAACUCCAGAUCCCCACAGCUCCAGUUUAAUGCAAGUAUGAAGAAAGGCAGAGAGAAGAGAAUGAAGACUUCUUUAAAAAAGAAGUGCUACAAGAAUACAGAAGAAACCCAGAUGUCCUUGGAAGGGUGACAAAAAAUCAGAGUGUGAUUCAAGCAGACACUUGAUGAGAGGAGAGGAUCCUGGAGCAUGCUGUGGAGGCUCUGUCAGCCAGGUGUUGAUGUCCCUCAUCUCCUCUAAGGACCAGUGGCUCAGAAAUGACUUCUAGCAACCCAUCUAAACAAUUUCAGCUGGACAAGUGAUGUUUCCUGGAGCUGUGAAUGUAGGCUUCAUCCCUCCAGAGCCAUGCUUGGAUGCUGACCCACAUGGAGGAGAGUUUAGCUAUCUCUGCCACACAGUCCUUCAUGUGAGGAGGCUUUUCUGAGUGAUUUAAGAGGGUUGUGGAAAAAAUGGCAAAAAGGGCAGCAGCAGCUGAAGAGUUUGGCAGGCCAAGGAGUACAUACCCCAGCUGCA